Long non-coding RNA from Bactrocera dorsalis (oriental fruit fly), 287 nucleotides. RefSeq lists it as uncharacterized. The record is from RefSeq and is a predicted model, not a curated record. NCBI's taxonomy places the organism in Eukaryota, Metazoa, Arthropoda, Insecta, Diptera, Tephritidae. The transcript has 2 exons.
GAAUCGAAUUCACGCACUCAGGAUCGGUGAAUUAUAGAUCGGUGUAGGUGUUAACACGGCGCAGUGGGUAAACGAUUGUAUCAGAAACGAAUGUAUGUAAAUGUGCGGCUUGUAUAGAUCGAAUGUGUUCGCUAUCCUUUUUUCCAGCCUUUUUGUUAUGUGCGUUGAUUGAUGUGGAGGUGUGUUGAGUUGUGUUGAGUGGUAUCAGCUGUGGUGAAUUGCGCUGUACCAUUAGGAUGCGCCUGUUAUUGCGGGUAGAGUGGGUGGAAGUUUAACCCAUUUAAACA